This 393-nucleotide ribosomal RNA is filed under the name uncultured bacterium. RNAcentral's name for it is "bacterial SSU rRNA". It matches the Rfam family "Bacterial small subunit ribosomal RNA", at positions 975 to 1368 of the family's 1533-position model. The record is from RNAcentral.
CCACCUUUGACAUGUACGGAAUCCUUUAGAGAUAGAGGAGUGCUCGAAAGAGAACCGUAACACAGGUGCUGCAUGGCUGUCGUCGGCUCGUGUCGUGAGAUGUUGGGUUAAGUCCCGCAACGAGCGCAACCCUUGUCAUUAGUUGCUACAUUUAGUUGGGCACUCUAAUGAGACUGCCGGUGACAAACCGGAGGAAGGUGGGGAUGACGUCAAGUCCUCAUGGCCCUUAUAGGUGGGGCUACACACGUCAUACAAUGGAUGGUACAAAGGGUCGCCAACCCGCGAGGGGGAGCCAAUCCCAUAAAGCCAUUCGUAGUCCGGAUCGCAGUCUGCAACUCGACUGCGUGAAGUCGGAAUCGCUAGUAAUCGUGGAUCAGAAUGUCGCGGUGAAUA